RNAcentral lists this transfer RNA (72 nucleotides) under Agrocybe chaxingu. It matches the Rfam family "tRNA". From Rfam's summary of the family: Transfer RNA (tRNA) molecules are approximately 80 nucleotides in length. Their secondary structure includes four short double-helical elements and three loops (D, anti-codon, and T loops). Further hydrogen bonds mediate the characteristic L-shaped molecular structure. tRNAs have two regions of fundamental functional importance: the anti-codon, which is responsible for specific mRNA codon recognition, and the 3' end, to which the tRNAs corresponding amino acid is attached (by aminoacyl-tRNA synthetases). tRNAs cope with the degeneracy of the genetic code in two manners: having more than one tRNA (with a specific anti-codon) for a particular amino acid; and 'wobble' base-pairing, i.e. permitting non-standard base-pairing at the 3rd anti-codon position. RNAcentral also lists the same sequence under 1 other name. The record is from Rfam by way of RNAcentral. Lineage: Eukaryota; Fungi; Basidiomycota; Agaricomycetes; Agaricales; Agrocybaceae.
AGCGAGAUGGUGUAAAGGUUAACACAACAGUCUCAUGAGCUGUAAUUUAAGAUUCAAUUUCUUAUCUCGCUU